UACGUAGGGUGCAAGCGUUAAUCGGAAUUACUGGGCGUAAAGCGUGCGCAGGCGGUGAUGUAAGACAGUUGUGAAAUCCCCGGGCUCAACCUGGGAACUGCAUCUGUGACUGCAUCGCUGGAGUGCGGCAGAGGGGGAUGGAAUUCCGCGUGUAGCGGUGAAAUGCGUAGAUAUGCGGAGGAACACCGAUGGCGAAGGCAAUCCCCUGGGCCUGCACUGACGCUCAUGCACGAAAGCGUGGGGAGCAAACAGG
This 253-nucleotide ribosomal RNA is filed under the name uncultured bacterium. RNAcentral's name for it is "partial 16S ribosomal RNA". It matches the Rfam family "Bacterial small subunit ribosomal RNA", at positions 524 to 776 of the family's 1533-position model. The record is from RNAcentral.